CAAUAGCGUAUAUUAAAGUUGUUGCAGUUAAAAAGCUCGUAGUUGGAUUUCGGGGCAGCCUGGCUGGUCCGCCGCAAGGCGAGUACUGGUCAGCCGCCCUUCCUCUCGAAAGCCCCGACUGCUCUUCGUUGCAGUGGUCGGGUAGUUCGGGACGUUUACUUUGAAAAAAUUAGGGUGUUCAAGGCAGGCCUACGCCUGAAUACAUUAGCAUGGAAUAAUGGAAGAGGACCUCGGUCCUAUUUUGUUGGUUUCCAGGGCCGAAGUAAUGAUUAAGAGGGACAGUUGGGGGCAUUCGUAUUUAAUUGUCAGAGGUGAAAUUCUCGGAUUUAUGAAAGACGAACAACUGCGAAAGCAUUUGCCAAGGAUGUUUUCAUUAA
This 377-nucleotide ribosomal RNA is filed under the name uncultured eukaryote. RNAcentral's name for it is "partial 18S ribosomal RNA". It matches the Rfam family "Eukaryotic small subunit ribosomal RNA", at positions 592 to 976 of the family's 1831-position model. The record is from RNAcentral.